Molecule: transfer RNA, 97 nt
Organism: Gaeumannomyces graminis
Lineage: Eukaryota; Fungi; Ascomycota; Sordariomycetes; Magnaporthales; Magnaporthaceae
Rfam family: tRNA
About the family: Transfer RNA (tRNA) molecules are approximately 80 nucleotides in length. Their secondary structure includes four short double-helical elements and three loops (D, anti-codon, and T loops).
Source: Rfam
GCCCGCUUGGCUUAGUGGUAAAGCGUAUCACUAGUAGCGAAGGAAACUUCCGCAUUGGUGUAUGAUAAGAUCGUCAGUUCGAUUCUGACAGUGGGCA